UGGUUCUGGCAUCGAUGAAGAACGCAGCGAAAUGCGAUAAGUAAUGUGAAUUGCAGAAUUCAGUGAAUCAUCGAAUCUUUGAACGCACAUUGCGCCCUUUGGUAUUCCGAAGGGCAUGCCUGUCCGAGCGUCAUUUCACCACUCAAGCCUCGCUUGGUAUUGGGCGCCGCGGGUCCCCCGCGCGCCUUAAAGUCUUUCCGGCUGAGCGGCUCGUCUCCAAGCGUUGUGGCAACUAUUCGCGGCGAGAUCGGGCGGCGGCGGCCGUUAAAUCUUUCAUUCCGGUUGACCUCGGAUCAGGUAGGGAUACCCGCUGA
This 314-nucleotide unclassified non-coding RNA is filed under the name uncultured fungus. Its description in RNAcentral is "partial contains 5.8S ribosomal RNA and internal transcribed spacer 2". The stretch from base 1 to 133 matches the Rfam family "5.8S ribosomal RNA", at positions 22 to 154 of the family's 154-position model. The record is from RNAcentral. Lineage: Eukaryota; Fungi.